UCGAGAAUCAUUCGCAAUGGGCGCAAGCCUGACGAUGCGACGCCGUGUGAGCGAUGAAGGCCUUAGGGUCGUAAAGCUCUUUCGCUUGGGAACAAGAGAGCCAGACGAAUACUCUGGCGAUUUGAGGGUACCAGGUAAAGAAGCACCGGCUAACUCCGUGCCAGCAGCUGCGGUAAUACGGAGGGUGCAAGCAUUAAUCGGAUUUAUUGGGCGUAAAGGGCGCGUAGGCGGGAAGAUAAGUCAGAUGUGAAAUCCCGGGGCUCAACCCCGGAACAGCAUUUGAAACUGUCUUUCUCAGAGGGUAGGCGGAGGAAAUGGAAUUCCACAAGUAGCGGUGAAAUGCGUAGAUAUGUGGAAGAACACCAGUGGCGAAGGCGGUUUCCUAGCUUAUACCUGACGCUAAAGCGCGAAAGCAAGGGGAGCAAACAG
RNAcentral lists this ribosomal RNA (429 nucleotides) under uncultured bacterium. RNAcentral describes it as "bacterial SSU rRNA". It matches the Rfam family "Bacterial small subunit ribosomal RNA", at positions 355 to 775 of the family's 1533-position model. The record is from RNAcentral.